Molecule: unclassified non-coding RNA, 423 nt
Filed under: Hevea brasiliensis (rubber tree)
Lineage: Eukaryota; Viridiplantae; Streptophyta; Magnoliopsida; Malpighiales; Euphorbiaceae
Source: RNAcentral
GCCACCACCAGUCCACAAGCCGCCACCAGAACACAAGCCACCACCAGUCCACAAGCCACCUCCAGUCCACAAGCCACCACCACACUACCCCUAUGCAUCUCCACCUCCUCCCCACCACUACUAGACUAUGCACGCAGUUUCAUACAUAUUUUCAAGGGAAGGAAUGCGACAAUAAAGAAAGAGAUUGAAGAGAAAGAAAGCGAGUUUCCGCGAUUGUUGUAGGAUAUUCUCUCUCUUUUUAGAAGAAGGAAUAAAGGCGUGCAUGUUUUAGGAUAAAAGUGUGCAAUCAUUUCAUGUAUUGGAUAAAUUGCAGCUACUGGUCCUGUUGAAAACAAUUUAUAUUAUAUUUGUACCUUUCAAUCUGUUAUCAAAUGAAGUGUUUGUUAUAUUUACCAAAAUAAAAUACAUUUCUUUAAAUUAAAA